This 875-nucleotide ribosomal RNA is filed under the name Echinophallus wageneri. RNAcentral describes it as "partial 16S ribosomal RNA". The stretch from base 568 to 875 matches the Rfam family "Bacterial large subunit ribosomal RNA", at positions 2048 to 2646 of the family's 2925-position model. Lineage: Eukaryota; Metazoa; Platyhelminthes; Cestoda; Bothriocephalidea; Triaenophoridae. The record is from RNAcentral.
UUUUGCAUYAUGCUGUUUCGAUAAUAUAAUAUAUUUAUUUUUCACCGAAAAGGUUUGAUUUUUAAUUCAGUUGAUUUAGUAUUUUGGCGGGUAGUGUAAAAAACUGAUGUAACGUUGUGAUAAAUUAGUCGUUUUCCUUUAUAUCUGUUUACUACCUUAAUUUUCUAUUUAGUUAUAGGGCAGUGAGGUCCUAUAAACGUAUAUAUACUUUAUUGAUUUUAAGUUAAACAGGGUUAGAAAUACCCUUUUAUUAAAGUUUUGUUAUAAUUUAUUUUAUAACUAGUUGUAUUAUUUAUAUGUGGUAGUUAUUUUUAAUAUUUUGUUAUAUUUAUGAUACAAUAAGUAAUAAAAUAAAUUAUAUUGUUUCUCAAGCAUAUUCCGUCUGUUUAUUAAAAACAUUUCUAUAUGAAAUAUUUUAUAGUAGGGCCUGCUCGAUGUUUAAUUAUCAAUGGCCGCAGUAUUUUGACUGUGCGAAGGUAGCAUAAUUAAUUGCCCUUUAAUUGGGGGCUUGUUUGAAUGGCUUGACGUGGUUAUUGUGAACAUUAUAUUUGUUUUUGAAAUUAAUUAUGAGGGUACAGAAUCCUCUUUCUUUAAUUAGACGGAAAGACCCCGGGAUCUUUCAUUUUUGCCUGGGGCAGGUUGAAUUUUUUCAAAUUUGAUAUUAUGAUCCUAUUUUAGGUUUAUUGAUUUAAGUUACCCCGGGGAUAACAGUGUAAUAAUUUAUUAGAGACCAUAUCGAUUAAAUUGUUUGCCACCUCGAUGUUGACUUAGGCUUAUAGCAGGGCGCAGUAGUCUUGUUAUGUGGUCUGUUCGACCUUAAUUGCCUCCAUGAGUUGAGUUAAGACCGGCGUGAGCCAGGUCGGUUCUUAUCUAUU